UGGCUCAGUGAGGCCUUCGGACUGGCCCAGGGAGGUCGGCAACGACCACCCAGGGCCGGAAAGUUGGUCAAACUCGGUCAUUUAGAGGAAGUAAAAGUCGUAACAAGGUCUCCGUAGGUGAACCUGCGGAGGGAUCAUUA
This 140-nucleotide ribosomal RNA is filed under the name Phaeophleospora eugeniae. RNAcentral's name for it is "partial 18S ribosomal RNA". It matches the Rfam family "Eukaryotic small subunit ribosomal RNA", at positions 1694 to 1831 of the family's 1831-position model. The record is from RNAcentral. Lineage: Eukaryota; Fungi; Ascomycota; Dothideomycetes; Mycosphaerellales; Mycosphaerellaceae.